GGCGGGGCUUUAGUUUUCUACUGAAACACAGAAGUGUGCAUUAACAAACCUUCGGAUUAAAUGCUGUUUUUGCCUUGUCGGACAAUGUAGGAAAAGACUGAUGGACAAGUGUUAAUUCCAUUACACUGCCUAUGAAGGCUGUCCUAAUGCAUUUCCUGAACCUGCCUUCAUGCCACAGAAGUCAUUGCCUCGUGAGCCGACGAGGCAACAAAUCAUGUGCCUUGGGUUUCGGAUGCAGCCCUUGUGUCCUAUCAGGUCUGCACUUCUCUUCUCCACUUUUUGGCUAACCCAGGGGGACCCACAGGCUGAGGUGAGGUUCUCCACCCCCCUUCCAUGUCAAUUUCAGCCUCCAGCCCUGGCCAGCCAGUCAAAACCCUGUGUUUGUCCGGGUGCCAACUUCUGAAGGUAAACAACAUGCACAAGGGCGCAGAGGUCAGACUGCCGGGCCGCCUGGACAGAGGCGGCUUUUCCCCUAAAGACAGAUCCUGUCAGGGUCUGAGCUUGGCCUGUCUGUAGCCCGCAGAGGCUCGGUACCCUCCUGUCACUGUGGCUGACAUCACGUCAAGCGCCGGGCCUGCAGUUGUCAUGCAGUAGUGCUGCUUCCCGUCUCAAGACAUGCAUCUUAGAAUUCCAUAGCCGUAUCCUGUUGUGUGCGUGUGUGUGUGUGUGUGUGUGUGCGGCUGAAGAAUCUCACUGCAAUUUAAAGGCGUGCUGUCAGUGAAAUGCUGUUGUAAAUGCUGAACAUGCUGAAGGCUUGAAUACUGAGUCUGCCUACAUAAGGAUGUGUGUAGAAAUGAUGACAAGAAAGUGUAAAUUAAUAAAUGAGGCCAACCCUGCUGAAAAAUCCAGCUGGAAGUCAUAUUUUGGAACUUAGAGGAUGCUUUCUAGCUGAAAUAAAC
Molecule: non-coding RNA, 899 nt
Organism: Misgurnus anguillicaudatus (oriental weatherfish)
Lineage: Eukaryota; Metazoa; Chordata; Actinopteri; Cypriniformes; Cobitidae
Source: RefSeq, a predicted model, not a curated record